Molecule: ribosomal RNA, 464 nt
Filed under: uncultured bacterium
Lineage: Bacteria
Description: partial 16S ribosomal RNA
Rfam family: Bacterial small subunit ribosomal RNA
Source: RNAcentral
CUACGGGGCGCAGCAGUGGGGAAUUUUGGACAAUGGGCGCAAGCCUGAUCCAGCCAUUCCGCGUGAGUGAAGAAGGCCUUCGGGUUGUAAAGCUCUUUCGCAAGGGAAGAAAACUUACUUUCUAAUAAAGAGUGAGGUUGACGGUACCUUGAUAAGAAGCACCGGCUAACUACGUGCCAGCAGCCGCGGUAAUACGUAGGGUGCGAGCGUUAAUCGGAAUUACUGGGCGUAAAGCGUGCGCAGGCGGUUUUGUAAGUCAGAUGUGAAAUCCCCGAGCUCAACUUGGGAACUGCGUUUGAAACUACAAGACUAGAAUAUGUCAGAGGGGGGUAGAAUUCCACGUGUAGCAGUGAAAUGCGUAGAGAUGUGGAGGAAUACCAAUGGCGAAGGCAGCCCCCUGGGAUAAUAUUGACGCUCAUGCACGAAAGCGUGGGGAGCAAACAGGAUUAGAUACCCGAGUAGUC